AGUCGUACCAAGGUUUCCGUAGGUGAACCUGCGGAAGGAUCAUUACAGUAUGAAUAGAAGGUUUUGCUGCUGGCCUUACACCAAGGCAUGUGCGCACCUUCAAAUUUCUAAUCCACAUACACCUGUGAACCUUAGACGUAGAUUGGACUCCCGGCUUCUAUUUGGAGCCGUGAGCGGUUUCUAGGAGGUUUUUCCUUCAAAGAGACUGAGUCUGACUCGUCUACUUUAACAUAUACCCUAAACAAGUUUUAAAUGCAUGUCUUUUUAAUGGGCUCUAUGGAGCUUAUAAACAUUAAUACAACUUUCAACAACGGAUCUCUUGGCUUCCACAUCGAUGAAGAACGCAGCGAACGUGCGAAACGUAAUGUGAAUUGCAGAAUUCAGUGAAUCAUCGAGUCUUUGAACGCAUCUUGCACUCCUUGGUAUUCCGAGGAGUAUGCCUGUUUGAGUGUCGUGAAUACUCUCAAGCUUGACCUUUUUUUUAUUAAGAAGGUCAUAGUUUGGAUUUGGAUGUUGCUGCGGUUGUACUUAUACUAUCGCGGCUCGUCUCGAAAUGUAUUAGCUGGUCCACCGCGGUCUAUUAUAAAACUCUAUGGUGUGAUAAGAACACAAAUUCUUUGUAGCGCUAUAGUGAAUAGACCAUGGGAUGUGAUUGCUUCUAAUAGUCCAUUGACUUGGACAAUAUCACUUUGUUAUCUGACCUCAAAUCAGGUAGGACUACCCGCUGAACUUAACAUAUCCA
RNAcentral lists this ribosomal RNA (742 nucleotides) under Sphaerobolus ingoldii. RNAcentral describes it as "eukaryotic LSU rRNA". The stretch from base 300 to 454 matches the Rfam family "5.8S ribosomal RNA". Lineage: Eukaryota; Fungi; Basidiomycota; Agaricomycetes; Geastrales; Sphaerobolaceae. The record is from RNAcentral.